RNAcentral lists this ribosomal RNA (246 nucleotides) under Cryptosporidium sp. chipmunk genotype II. RNAcentral's name for it is "partial 18S small subunit ribosomal RNA". It matches the Rfam family "Eukaryotic small subunit ribosomal RNA", at positions 433 to 680 of the family's 1831-position model. Lineage: Eukaryota; Apicomplexa; Conoidasida; Eucoccidiorida; Cryptosporidiidae. The record is from RNAcentral.
CGCGCAAAUUACCCAAUCCUGACACAGGGAGGUAGUGACAAGAAAUAACAAUACAGGGCCUUUCGGCUUUGUAAUUGGAAUGAGUUGAGUCUAAACCCCUUUGCGAGUAUCAAUUGGAGGGCAAGUCUGGUGCCAGCAGCCGCGGUAAUUCCAGCUCCAAUAGCGUAUAUUAAAGUUGUUGCAGUUAAAAAGCUCGUAGUUGGAUUUUUGCUAAAUCUUGUGCAUGUGCUUUUCUUGCUCCUGCAC